RNAcentral lists this ribosomal RNA (273 nucleotides) under uncultured Sphingobium sp. Its description in RNAcentral is "partial 16S ribosomal RNA". It matches the Rfam family "Bacterial small subunit ribosomal RNA", at positions 524 to 796 of the family's 1533-position model. The record is from RNAcentral. Lineage: Bacteria; Pseudomonadati; Pseudomonadota; Alphaproteobacteria; Sphingomonadales; Sphingobiaceae.
UACGGAGGGAGCUAGCGUUGUUCGGAAUUACUGGGCGUAAAGCGCACGUAGGCGGCUACUCAAGUCAGAGGUGAAAGCCCAGGGCUUAACCUUGGAACUGCCUUUGAAACUAGGUAGCUAGAAUUCUGGAGAGGUCAGUGGAAUUCCGAGUGUAGAGGUGAAAUUCGUAGAUAUUCGGAAGAACACCAGUGGCGAAGGCGACUGACUGGACAGAUAUUGACGCUGAGGUGCGAAAGCGUGGGGAGCAAACAGGAUUAGAAACCCCUGUAGUCC